RNAcentral lists this transfer RNA (81 nucleotides) under Nitrososphaerota archaeon. Its description in RNAcentral is "Thaumarchaeota archaeon tRNA-Met". It matches the Rfam family "tRNA". From Rfam's summary of the family: Transfer RNA (tRNA) molecules are approximately 80 nucleotides in length. Their secondary structure includes four short double-helical elements and three loops (D, anti-codon, and T loops). RNAcentral also lists the same sequence under 1 other name. Lineage: Archaea; Thermoproteati; Nitrososphaerota. The record is from RNAcentral.
AGCGAGGUGGGGAAGCCAGGAUUAUCCCGGCGGGCUCAUAACCCGCAGAUCGGUGAGGUUCAAAUCCACCCCUCGCUACCA